GCACCCCCGCCAGCAGCUUGAUGUUCUUCAGCGGGAUCCCCUUGCUGCCGCCCCGCGCCAGCACCAGCGCGGCCAGGACGAGGUUUUGAGGGGAUUAUCUCUGAUAGCGGGAAGCCCUCGCAGCUGGAAAACGCGCAGGAGUGGCCCACGCAUCACGCGACCGAUUUUUCCACUAGGAUAAAUCCUCAGAUUUCAGUGUCUUCUUUCUGCGUCUCGUCCUCCCUGCCUUGGGAAUCCCGGCAGAGGGCAGAGUGGUCACAUCGCAGCCUUCCCAGAGACGGGAAGCGUUCCCGCAUCUCCUCGGGUCGCUUCUCCACCUCCUAAAAAGUGCUUUACAUCGUAAAAAAACCACGGUGUUAAAUCCAGCUGGUUAAUGGAUCCUACCUGCCAACCCUUUUAGACUGCUGUAACAAGGAGGAAUAUCAAACGCCUGCUGAAUUUCUGAAGAAACAACAGCUUCAGGCUUCACUUCUGCUACAAACAAAGGUCAUUUUUGUUGAGAAGAAAGAUACAAGUCUUUCUGAGGUCAACUUUAUGGACUGGCUAAAUUGUGUGAUUUUUGUGCAGUUCCUCAGAAAUUGCUUUAAAGUAGCCAGCGAUGGCAC
This is a long non-coding RNA of Calypte anna (Anna's hummingbird), 605 nucleotides long. RefSeq lists it as uncharacterized. The record is from RefSeq and is a predicted model, not a curated record. Lineage: Eukaryota; Metazoa; Chordata; Aves; Apodiformes; Trochilidae. The transcript is spliced from 3 exons.